This is a non-coding RNA of Mycena galericulata, 92 nucleotides long. NCBI's taxonomy places the organism in Eukaryota, Fungi, Basidiomycota, Agaricomycetes, Agaricales, Mycenaceae. The record is from the annotation of a GenBank genome assembly.
GCAUUAAUGGGGUAGUGGUAACCUGGGUCGUUGCCACUUGCUUUGUAAUUCGCGGGUUCGACCCGCCGGGGGUUCGAUUCCCCCUUAAUGCA